Molecule: ribosomal RNA, 449 nt
Filed under: uncultured bacterium
Lineage: Bacteria
Description: partial 16S ribosomal RNA
Rfam family: Bacterial small subunit ribosomal RNA
Source: RNAcentral
GUCGAGAAUCUUUCACAAUGGGGGCAACCCUGAUGGAGCGACGCCGCGUGGAGGAUAAGGUCUUCGGAUUGUAAACUCCUGUCAUGCGUGAACAAGGUUGCUUGGUUAAUACCUGGGCAAAUUGAUGGUAGCGCAAGAGGAAGAGACGGCUAACUCUGUGCCAGCAGCCGCGGUAAUACAGAGGUCUCAAGCGUUGUUCGGAAUCACUGGGCGUAAAGGGUGCGUAGGUGGCGUGGCAAGUCAGAUGUGAAAGCCCGGGGCUCAACCUCUGAGCGGCAUCCGAUACUGCCAUGCUAGAGUACUGGAGGGGUGACUAGAAUUCUCGGUGUAGCAGUGAAAUGCGUAGAUAUCGAGAGGAAUACCAAAGGCGUAGGCAGGUCACUGGACAGUUACUGACACUGAGGCACGAAGGCCAGGGGAGCGAACGGGAUUAGAUACCCGUGUAGUCC